RNAcentral lists this ribosomal RNA (535 nucleotides) under uncultured fungus. RNAcentral's name for it is "SSU rRNA". It matches the Rfam family "Eukaryotic small subunit ribosomal RNA", at positions 569 to 1105 of the family's 1831-position model. The record is from RNAcentral. Lineage: Eukaryota; Fungi.
AGCAGCCGCGGUAAUUCCAGCUCCAAUAGCGUAUAUUAAAGUUGUUGCAGUUAAAAAGCUCGUAGUUGAAUUUCGGGGUCAGUAGGCCGGUCGUGCCACCGGUACGUACUGGUCUCACUGAUUCCUCCUUCCUGAAGAACCGUAAUGCCAUUAAUUUGGUGUUGCGAGGAAACAGGACUGUUACUUUGAAAAAAUUAGAGUGUUUAAAGCAAGCUAACGCUUGAAUACAUUAGCAUGGAAUAAUGAAAUAGGACGAUCGAUCCUAUUUUGUUGGUUUCUAGGAUUGACGUAAUGAUUAAUAGGGAUAGUUGGGGGCAUUAGUAUUCAAUUGUCAGAGGUGAAAUUCUUGGAUUUAUUGAAGACUAACUACUGCGAAAGCAUUUGCCAAGGAUGUUUUCAUUAAUCAAGAACGAAAGUUAGGGGAUCGAAGACGAUCAGAUACCGUCGUAGUCUUAACCAUAAACUAUGCCGACUAGGAAUCAGACGAUGUUAAUUUUUUAAUGACUCGUUUGGCACCUUACGGGAAACCAAAGUU